RNAcentral lists this ribosomal RNA (529 nucleotides) under Saccharomyces cerevisiae (brewer's yeast). RNAcentral's name for it is "partial large subunit ribosomal RNA". It matches the Rfam family "Eukaryotic large subunit ribosomal RNA", at positions 104 to 648 of the family's 3401-position model. Lineage: Eukaryota; Fungi; Ascomycota; Saccharomycetes; Saccharomycetales; Saccharomycetaceae. The record is from RNAcentral.
AAGCUCAAAUUUGAAAUCUGGUACCUUCGGUGCCCGAGUUGUAAUUUGGAGAGGGCAACUUUGGGGCCGUUCCUUGUCUAUGUUCCUUGGAACAGGACGUCAUAGAGGGUGAGAAUCCCGUGUGGCGAGGAGUGCGGUUCUUUGUAAAGUGCCUUCGAAGAGUCGAGUUGUUUGGGAAUGCAGCUCUAAGUGGGUGGUAAAUUCCAUCUAAAGCUAAAUAUUGGCGAGAGACCGAUAGCGAACAAGUACAGUGAUGGAAAGAUGAAAAGAACUUUGAAAAGAGAGUGAAAAAGUACGUGAAAUUGUUGAAAGGGAAGGGCAUUUGAUCAGACAUGGUGUUUUGUGCCCUCUGCUCCUUGUGGGUGGGGGAAUCUCGCAUUUCACUGGGCCAGCAUCAGUUUUGGUGGCAGGAUAAAUCCAUAGGAAUGUAGCUUGCCUCGGUAAGUAUUAUAGCCUGUGGGAAUACUGCCAGCUGGGACUGAGGACUGCGACGUAAGUCAAGGAUGCUGGCAUAAUGGUUAUAUGCCGC